Molecule: ribosomal RNA, 253 nt
Filed under: uncultured bacterium
Lineage: Bacteria
Description: partial 16S ribosomal RNA
Rfam family: Bacterial small subunit ribosomal RNA
Source: RNAcentral
UACGGAGGGUGCAAGCGUUGUCCGGAAUCACUGGGCGUAAAGGGCGCGUAGGCGGCUCAUGAAGGCUGUGGUGAAAGUCCGGGGCUCAACCUCGGAUCGGCCGUGGCGACUCGUGGGCUGGAGCACUGUAGAGGCGGGUGGAAUUCCGGGUGUAGCGGUGGAAUGCGUAGAGACCCGGAGGAACACCAGUGGCGAAGGCGGCGUCCUGGCCUGCGACUGACGCUGUGGCGCGAAAGCUAGGGGAGCGAACGGG